GACGAACGCUGGCGGCGUGCUUAAUACAUGCAAGUCGAGCGACGAAACCGGUCUGGGUAACCAGACCGGCUGAAAGCGGCGAACGGGUGAGUAACACGUGGGUAACGUACCCCUGGCACAGGGAUAACAACGGGAAACCGUUGCUAAUACCUGAUGACCCCUGCGGACCGCAUGGCCUGCAGGGCAAAGCUCCGGCGGCCAGGGAUCGGCCCGCGGCCUAUCAGCUUGUUGGUGGGGUAACGGCCCACCAAGGCUUUGACGGGUAGCUGGCGUGAGA
Molecule: ribosomal RNA, 277 nt
Filed under: uncultured bacterium
Lineage: Bacteria
Description: partial 16S ribosomal RNA
Rfam family: Bacterial small subunit ribosomal RNA
Source: RNAcentral